UACGGGGGGAGCAAGCGUUGUUCGGAUUUACUGGGCGUAAAGGGCGCGUAGGCGGCCACGACAAGUCAGUUGUGAAAUCUCUGGGCUUAACUCGAGCAACGGUCAACUGAUACUGUCGGGCUAGAGUGCAGAAGGGGCAACUGGAAUUCUCGGUGUAGCGGUGAAAUGCGUAGAUAUCGAGAGGAACACCUGCGGCGAAGGCGGGUUGCUGGGCUGACACUGACGCUGAGGCGCGAAAGCUAGGGGAGCGAACGGG
RNAcentral lists this ribosomal RNA (256 nucleotides) under uncultured bacterium. Its description in RNAcentral is "partial 16S ribosomal RNA". It matches the Rfam family "Bacterial small subunit ribosomal RNA", at positions 524 to 776 of the family's 1533-position model. The record is from RNAcentral.